CAAGUAGGUGGGUCCGCGAGCCUCCCUCCCUCAGAGGCAUUGCAUAAGCAGCCGCAGCCCUGACUACAUUCCCAUGGUUACCGGGCUGGGAAAGGCUGGCCGAGAUGGCAUCGCCAUGGCACCGGCAUGGUCCACAGCUCUGCUGGGCGUGGCUCUGGUAUGUGUAGCUCUGGUCUCUUGCUGGACAGAUGGCCUUCACAGAGGGCCCUCCCAGACAUCCAGUGGCCUUGGAUAUCAUGAUGUGAGUCUUGUCCUCUUUACUGCACCUCAGCACAGUCCAGUGAUGCAAUGCUGCUUCUCCCCUUGCUUCAUCGUAUGA
Molecule: long non-coding RNA, 319 nt
Organism: Mus spicilegus (steppe mouse)
Lineage: Eukaryota; Metazoa; Chordata; Mammalia; Rodentia; Muridae
Source: Ensembl